This 329-nucleotide ribosomal RNA is filed under the name uncultured eukaryote. RNAcentral's name for it is "partial 18S ribosomal RNA". It matches the Rfam family "Eukaryotic small subunit ribosomal RNA", at positions 1470 to 1796 of the family's 1831-position model. The record is from RNAcentral.
CCCUUAGAUGUUCUGGGCCGCACGCGCGCUACACUGAUGCAUUCAACGAGUCUAAAACCUGGUCUGAGAGGGCUGGGUAAUCUUUUGAAAGUGCAUCGUGAUUGGGAUAGAUGAUUGCAAUUCUUCAUCUUCAACGAGGAAUGCCUAGUAAACGCAAGUCAUCAGCUUGCAUUGAUUACGUCCCUGCCCUUUGUACACACCGCCCGUCGCUCCUACCGAUUGAACGAUCCGAUGAAAACUGUGGAUUGAGAGUCUGAGUGGGUUCGCCUACCUCAACUUUCGAGAAGCGGUUUAAAUCUUAUCGUUUAGAGGAAGGAGAGGUCGUAACA